AUACGGAGGAUCCGAGCGUUAUCCGGAUUUAUUGGGUUUAAAGGGAGCGUAGGCGGAUUGUUACGUCAGUUGUGAAAGUUUGCGGCUCAACCGUAAAAUUGCAGUUGAAACUGGCAAUCUUGAGUACAGUAGAGGUGGGCGGAAUUCGUGGUGUAGCGGUGAAAUGCUUAGAUAUCACGAUGAACUCCGAUUGCGAAGGCAGCUCACUAGACUGUUACUGACACUGAUGCUCGAAAGUGUGGGUAUCAAACAGGAUUAGAUACCCUGGUAGUCCACACAGUAAACGAUGAAUACUCGCUGUUUGCGAUAUACAGUAAGCGGCCAAGCGAAAGCAUUAAGUAUUCCACCUGGGGAGUACGCCGGCAACGGUGAAACUCAAAUGAAUUGACGGGG
RNAcentral lists this ribosomal RNA (393 nucleotides) under uncultured bacterium. RNAcentral describes it as "partial 16S ribosomal RNA". It matches the Rfam family "Bacterial small subunit ribosomal RNA", at positions 523 to 918 of the family's 1533-position model. The record is from RNAcentral.